GAUGAAGAACGUAGCGAAAUGCGAUAAGUAGUGUGAAUCGCAGAAUUCAGUGAAUCAUCGAAUCUUUGAACGCACAUUGCGCCCCAUGGUAUUCCGUGGGGCAUGCCUGUUCGAGCGUCAUUUACCCCCUCAAGCUCCGCUUGGUGUUGGGCGUCUGUCCCGCUUCGCGCGCGGACUCGCCCCAAAGGUAUUGGCAGCGGUCGUGCCAGCUUCUCGCGCAGCACAUUGCGCUUCUCGAGGCACCGGUGGGCCCGCGUCCAUCAAGCUCACCCCCCCAGUUUGACCUCGGAUCAGGUAGGGAUACCCGCUGAACUUAAGCAUAUCAAUAAGCGGAGGA
This 337-nucleotide unclassified non-coding RNA is filed under the name soil metagenome. RNAcentral's name for it is "partial contains 5.8S ribosomal RNA, internal transcribed spacer 2, and large subunit ribosomal RNA". The stretch from base 1 to 120 matches the Rfam family "5.8S ribosomal RNA", at positions 35 to 154 of the family's 154-position model. The record is from RNAcentral.